CACGUAGGGCGCAAGCGUUGUCCGGAAUUAUUGGGCGUAAAGAGCUCGUAGGCGGUCUGUUGCGUCCGCUGUGAAAACCCGGGGCUUAACCCUGGGCUGGCAGUGGAUACGGACAGACUAGAGGUAGGUAGGGGAGAAUGGAAUUCCCGGUGUAGCGGUGAAAUGCGCAGAUAUCGGGAGGAACACCGGUGGCGAAGGCGGUUCUCUGGGCCGAUACUGACGCUGAGGAGCGAAAGCAUGGGGAGCGAACAGG
RNAcentral lists this ribosomal RNA (253 nucleotides) under uncultured bacterium. RNAcentral's name for it is "partial 16S ribosomal RNA". It matches the Rfam family "Bacterial small subunit ribosomal RNA", at positions 524 to 776 of the family's 1533-position model. The record is from RNAcentral.